UACGUAGGGUGCAAGCGUUAAUCGGAAUUACUGGGCGUAAAGCGUGCGCAGGCGGCUUUGCAAGACAGAUGUGAAAUCCCCGGGCUUAACCUGGGAACUGCAUUUGUGACUGCAUGGCUGGAGUGCGGCAGAGGGGGAUGGAAUUCCGCGUGUAGCAGUGAAAUGCGUAGACAUGCGGAGGAACACCGAUGGCGAAGGCAAUCCCCUGGGCCUGCACUGACGCUCAUGCACGAAAGCGUGGGGAGCAAACAGG
RNAcentral lists this ribosomal RNA (253 nucleotides) under uncultured bacterium. Its description in RNAcentral is "partial 16S ribosomal RNA". It matches the Rfam family "Bacterial small subunit ribosomal RNA", at positions 524 to 776 of the family's 1533-position model. The record is from RNAcentral.